This 278-nucleotide long non-coding RNA is filed under the name Vigna radiata. RNAcentral describes it as "long non-coding RNA (VRAD_LNC000241)". Lineage: Eukaryota; Viridiplantae; Streptophyta; Magnoliopsida; Fabales; Fabaceae. The record is from RNAcentral.
CCAAUUGUUGGGUUCGAGAGCGUGAAAACGAGAAACCCAGAAAACAGAGAAAAGUAGAAGAGAGAGAACAGAGCGAGAUUGUGAAUCUGAAUAUUAUGAGAAAAGUUACAGAGAAGGAGGAGUUGGUUACAAUAUAUAACCAACUCAAGCACAGAAAAGAACACAACAAACAAGACCGAAACAACAAAAGCAACCGGACGAGCAAACCUGAUGGUCUAUAAACCGUUCGGAUAACCGUUCGGCAUACAAUGAAGUCAAGUCUAAAUAACAAUUCCAAG